Molecule: ribosomal RNA, 421 nt
Filed under: uncultured Gemmatimonas sp.
Lineage: Bacteria; Pseudomonadati; Gemmatimonadota; Gemmatimonadia; Gemmatimonadales; Gemmatimonadaceae
Also listed under: 1 other name
Description: bacterial SSU rRNA
Rfam family: Bacterial small subunit ribosomal RNA
Source: RNAcentral
UGGGGAAUCUUGCGCAAUGGUCUAACGACUGACGCAGCGACGCCGCGUGUGGGAGGACGCCUUUCGGGGUGUAAACCACUGUUGCCCGGGACGAACAGCAUCUUUCGAGAUGCCUGACGGUACCGGGUGAGGAAGCACCGGCUAACUCCGUGCCAGCAGCCGCGGUAAUACGGAGGGUGCGAGCGUUGUCCGGAAUCAUUGGGCGUAAAGGGCGCGUAGGUGGCCUGCUAAGCGUGCGGUGAAAGUCGGGGGCUCAACCCCCGAUCGGCCGUGCGAACUGGGAGGCUUGAGCACUGUAGAGGCAGGCGGAAUUCCGGGUGUAGCGGUGGAAUGCGUAGAGAUCCGGAAGAACACCGGUGGCGAAGGCGGCCUGCUGGGCAGUUUUGCUGACACUGAGGCGCGACAGCGUGGGGAGCAAACA